AGUGGAUUAGCUGGGUCAAAUGGUGGUUCCAUUCCAAGUCCAAGGACUCCCCAUACUCCUUUCCAUAUUGGCUGUACCAAUUUGCAGUCCCACCAGCAAU
This 100-nucleotide microRNA precursor is filed under the name Marmota monax (woodchuck). Lineage: Eukaryota; Metazoa; Chordata; Mammalia; Rodentia; Sciuridae. The record is from RNAcentral.